GUGGGGAAUAUUGGACAAUGGGCGCAAGCCUGAUCCAGCCAUGCCGCGUGAGUGAUGAAGGCCCUAGGGUUGUAAAGCUCUUUCAACGGUGAAGAUAAUGACGGUAACCGUAGAAGAAGCCCCGGCUAACUUCGUGCCAGCAGCCGCGGUAAUACGAAGGGGGAUAGCGUUGUUCGGAAUUACUGGGCAUAAAGCGCACGUAGGCGGAUCGUUAAGUCGGGGGUGAAAUCCCGGGGCUCAACCCCGGAACUGCCUUCGAUACUGGCGAUCUAGAGUUCGAGAGAGGUGAGUGGAAUUCCGAGUGUAGAGGUGAAAUUCGUAGAUAUUCGGAGGAACACCAGUGGCGAAGGCGGCUCACUGGCUCGAUACUGACGCUGAGGUGCGAAAGCGUGGGGAGCAAACAGGAUUAGAAACCCGGGUAGUCC
This 425-nucleotide ribosomal RNA is filed under the name uncultured bacterium. Its description in RNAcentral is "partial 16S ribosomal RNA". It matches the Rfam family "Bacterial small subunit ribosomal RNA", at positions 354 to 796 of the family's 1533-position model. The record is from RNAcentral.